This 484-nucleotide ribosomal RNA is filed under the name uncultured bacterium. RNAcentral's name for it is "partial 16S ribosomal RNA". It matches the Rfam family "Bacterial small subunit ribosomal RNA", at positions 28 to 523 of the family's 1533-position model. The record is from RNAcentral.
GACGAACGCUGGCGGCGUGCUUAACACAUGCAAGUCGAACGAUGAAGCCGGAGCUUGCUCUGGUGAAUUAGUGGCGAACGGGUGAGUAACACGUGAGUAACCUGCCCUUGACUCUGGGAUAACUGCUAGAAAUGGUAGCUAAUACCGGAUACGACCCUCGGAGGCAUCUCCAGGGGGUGGAAAGCAUUUCGGUCAAGGAUGGACUCGCGGCCUAGCAGCUAGUUGGUGGGGUAACGGCUCACCAAGGCGACGACGGGUAGCCGGCCUGAGAGGGUGACCGGCCACACUGGGACUGAGACACGGCCCAGACUCCUACGGGAGGCAGCAGUGGGGAAUAUUGCACAAUGGGCGCAAGCCUGAUGCAGCAACGCCGCGUGAGGGAUGACGGCCUUCGGGUUGUAAACCUCUUUUAGUAGGGAAGAAGCGAAAGUGACGGUACCUGCAGAAAAAGCACCGGCUAACUACGUGCCAGCAGCCGCCGUAA